AAAUAGAUUAAAAUAAUUAAGGGCACACAAAGGAUGCCUAGGUAGUAAGAGCCGAUGAAGGACGUGGUAAGCUGCGAUAAGCCUAGAUAAGUUGCAAUCGAACGUAAGAGUCUAGGAUUUCCGAAUGGAGCAAUCUAUUAAGAUGGAGUCUUAAUACGAAAGAGGGAACCACGUGAACUGAAACAUCUAAGUAACGUGAGGAAAAGAAAGUAAAAACGAUACCCAAAGUAGCGGCGAGCGAACUGGGUCAAGCCUAAACCUUAAAUAUGUCAAGGAUACAGCCGUUGUAUUUAAGGGGUUGAGGGACAAAGUAGUGAAGAACUGUAAGAUAUUCAAUAUAGUGUAUUGAUGAAUUAGAAUUGUAUGGAAAGAUAAACCGCAGAAGGUGAGAGUCCUGUAUAAGUAAAUCUUUACACAUAUAACUUUGCUCCCAAGUAACAUGGAACACGAGGAAUUCUGUGUGAAUCAGUGAGGACCAUAUCUCAUAAGGCUAAAUACUCUUACUAACCGAUAGUGCAUAGUACCGUGAGGGAAAGGUGAAAAGAACCCCUGGAGGGGAGUGAAAUAGAACCUGAAAUUGUGUGCUUACAAGCGGUCAGAGCCCAUUUGGGUGAUGGCGUGCCUUUUGGAGAAUGAUCCUGCGAGUUAUGUUAAACGGCGAGGUUAAGUAUAACGGAGCCGAAGGGAAACCAAGUCUUAAUAGGGCGAUAUAGUCGUUUGGCGUAGACGCGAAACCUGGUGAUCUAAACCUGUCCAGGAUGAAGCUGUGGUAAGACACAGUGGAGGUCCUAACCCACCGCCGUUGAAAAGUUGGGGGAUGAGGUAGGUUUAGGGGUGAAAAGCCAAUCGAACCAGGAGAUAGCUCGUUCUCUCCGAAAUGCAUCUAGGUGCAGCCUUGAGUGUUCAAUUAUGGGGGUAGAGCACUGAAUGAUCUAGGGGGCAUAUUGCUUACUGAAAUCAAUCAAACUCCAAAUACCAUAAUUUAUAGCUCAGGAGUGAGACCAUGGGAGUUAACUUCCAUUGUCAAAAGGGAAACAACCCAGACCACCAGCUAAGGUCCCUAAUUAUAACUAAGUGGGAAAGGAGGUGGAGAUUCACAAACAACUAGGAGGUUGGCUUAGAAGCAGCCAUACCUUUAAAGAGUGCGUAAUAGCUCACUAGUCGAGAGUCUCUGCGCCGACAAUGUAACGGGGCUAAGUUAUAAACCGAAGCUGUGGAAUCCUUAUGGAUUGGUAGGAGAGCGUUCUGUAGGCUGUUGAAGAAGAAGGGUAACUAACUUUGGAGGUAUCAGAAGUGAGAAUGCAGGAAUAAGUAGCGAGAAAGGGGGCGAGAAUCCCCCUCGCCGGAAGACCAAGGUUUUCAGGGUAAAGCUUGUCUUCCCUGAGUAAGCCGGGACCUAAGCCCAGGCUAUAAUGCGUAGGCGAAUGGAAAACAGAUUAAUAUUUCUGUGCCAGUCAUUUAUUGUGAUGGAGGGACGCAGAAGGGUAUGUUCUCGGACGAUUGGUUGUGUCCGUAGAAGUAUGUAGGGUUACUUAGUAGGUAAAUCCAUUAAGUUAUAUCUGAGGUAUGAUAUACAGUCGUAAGAUGAAUGUACAAAUCCCACGCUGCCAAGAAAAACUUCUAACGUUAAUAUAUGACUGCCCGUACUGUAAACCGACACAGGUGGUCAGGAUGAGAAAUCUAAGGCGGACAGGCUAACUCUCGUUAAGGAACUCUGCAAAAUAACCUCGUAACUUCGGGAGAAGAGGAGCCCUUGUGUGUUAGUAUACAUGCGAUACAAAGCGCACGAGGGUCGCAGUGAAGAGGCUCAAGCAACUGUUUAACAAAAACACAGGUCUAUGCUAAGCUGUAAGGCGAUGUAUAUGGGCUGACACCUGCCCAGUGCUGGAAGGUUAAGAGGAGGAGUGAGAGCUCCUAAUUGAAGCCCCAGUGAACGGCGGCCGUAACUAUAACGGUCCUAAGGUAGCGAAAUUCCUUGUCGGGUAAGUUCCGACCUGCACGAAUGGUGUAAUGAUUUGAGUGCUGUCUUGACGGGAGGCCUGGUGAAAUUGUAUUACCGGUGAAGAUACCGGUUACCUACAGUAGGACGGAAAGACCCCAUGGAGCUUUACUGUAGCUUGGUAUUGGGUUUUGGCAUUGCAUGUAUAGGAUAGUUGGGAGACUAUGAUGGUAUGGCGCUAGCUGUAUCGGAGUCAUCGGUGGAAUACCAACCAUUCAAUGCUGAAAUUCUAAUCUGUGGUUUGUUGCCACGGAGACAGUGCUAGGUGGGCAGUUUGACUGGGGCGGUCGCCUCCGAAAGAGUAACGGAGGCGUUCAAAGGUUCUCUCAGGUUGGAUGGAAAUCAACCAUAGAGUGCAAUGGCAUAAGAGAGCUUGACUGCAAGACUGACGGGUCGAGCAGAUGCGAAAGCAGGACAUAGUGAUCCGGCGAUUCCGAAUGGAAGGGUCGUCGCUCAACGGAUAAAAGCUACCCUGGGGAUAACAGGCUGAUCCUACCCGAGAGUCCAUAUCGACGGUAGGGUUUGGCACCUCGAUGUCGGCUCAUCGCAUCCUGGGGCUGGAGAAGGUCCCAAGGGUUGGGCUGUUCGCCCAUUAAAGCGGUACGUGAGCUGGGUUCAGAACGUCGUGAGACAGUUCGGUCCCUAUCCACUGUAGGCGUUAGAAUAUUGAGAAGACCUGUCCUUAGUACGAGAGGACCGGGAUGGACAAACCUCUGAUGUACCAGUUGUCACGCCAGUGGCACAGCUGGGUAGUCACGUUUGGAAUAGAUAAUCGCUGAAAGCAUCUAAGCGAGAAACUAACUUCAAGAUAAGUAUUCUUUAAGAUACCUUUGAGACUAGGAGGUUGAUAGGUUGGAGGUGUAAGUACAGCAAUGUAUUUAGCUGACCAAUACUAAUUAUCAAAGUUUUAAUCUAAAAUCUACUAUAUAGUUUC
This 2933-nucleotide ribosomal RNA is filed under the name Fusobacterium animalis. RNAcentral's name for it is "bacterial LSU rRNA". It matches the Rfam family "Bacterial large subunit ribosomal RNA". Lineage: Bacteria; Fusobacteriati; Fusobacteriota; Fusobacteriia; Fusobacteriales; Fusobacteriaceae. The record is from RNAcentral.